GGAAUAUGAGAUUCAGGGGAGAGCUUCUAACUCAGCCCCUAAGCGAUGGAACUUCGUUUAUAUUUCU
This 67-nucleotide transfer RNA is filed under the name Elaptus prionoides. RNAcentral's name for it is "tRNA-Ser". The record is from RNAcentral. Lineage: Eukaryota; Metazoa; Arthropoda; Insecta; Coleoptera; Cerambycidae.